RNAcentral lists this ribosomal RNA (450 nucleotides) under uncultured bacterium. RNAcentral's name for it is "bacterial SSU rRNA". It matches the Rfam family "Bacterial small subunit ribosomal RNA", at positions 354 to 796 of the family's 1533-position model. The record is from RNAcentral.
GUGGGGAAUUUUGGACAAUGGGCGCAAGCCUGAUCCAGCCAUGCCGCGUGUGUGAAGAAGGUCUUCGGAUUGUAAAGCACUUUAAGUUGGGAGGAAGGGCAGUAAGUUAAUACCUUGCUGUUUUGACGUUACCGACAGAAUAAGCACCGGCUAACUUCGUGCCAGCAGCCGCGGUAAUACGAAGGGUGCAAGCGUUAAUCGGAAUUACUGGGCGUAAAGCGCGCGUAGGUGGUUUUGUAAGUUGGAGGUGAAAUCCCCGGGCUCAACCUGGGAACUGCCUCCAAAACUGCAUGACUAGAGUACGGUAGAGGGUAGUGGAAUUUCCUGUGUAGCGGUGAAAUGCGUAGAUAUAGGAAGGAACACCAGUGGCGAAGGCGACUACCUGGACUGAUACUGACACUGAGGUGCGAAAGCGUGGGGAGCAAACAGGAUUAGAAACCCCUGUAGUCC